Molecule: ribosomal RNA, 253 nt
Filed under: uncultured bacterium
Lineage: Bacteria
Description: partial 16S ribosomal RNA
Rfam family: Bacterial small subunit ribosomal RNA
Source: RNAcentral
GCAAGUCGAGGGGUAACAUUAAGUUCUUGCACUUAGAUGACGACCGGCGCACGGGUGCGUAACGCGUAUACAAUCUACCUUAUACUUGGGAAUAUCCUUUGGAAACGAAGAUUAAUGCCCCAUAGUAUUAUUGAAUGGCAUCGUUUAAUAAUUAAAACUCCGGUGGUAUAAGAUGAGUAUGCGUUCUAUUAGUUAGUUGGUAAGGUAACGGCUUACCAAGACAUCGAUAGAUAGGGGUCCUGAGAGGGAGAUC